AGAGUUUGAUCAUGGCUCAGAUUGAACGCUGGCGGCAUGCCUUACACAUGCAAGUCGAACGGCAGCGCGGGCAACCUGGCGGCGAGUGGCGAACGGGUGAGUAAUAUAUCGGAACGUGCCCUGGAGUGGGGGAUAACGUAGCGAAAGUUACGCUAAUACCACAUACGAUCCAAGGAUGAAAGCAAUACCGUGGGUAUUGCGCUCCUGGAUGGGCUCAUGUCCUAUCAGCUUGUUGGUGAGGUAACGGCUCACCAAGGCUUCGACGGGUAGCUGGUCUGAGAGGACGAUCAGCCACACUGGCACUGCGACACGGGCCAGACUCCUACGGGAGGCAGCAGUAAGGAAUAUUGCGCAAUGGACGAAAGUCUGACGCAGCGACGCCGCGUGGGGGAUGAAGGUCUUCGGAUUGUAAACCCCUUUCGGGAGGGAAGAUGGAGUGGGUAACCACUUGGACGGUACCUCCAGAAGCAGCCACGGCUAACUUCGUG
This 488-nucleotide ribosomal RNA is filed under the name uncultured bacterium. Its description in RNAcentral is "bacterial SSU rRNA". It matches the Rfam family "Bacterial small subunit ribosomal RNA", at positions 8 to 507 of the family's 1533-position model. The record is from RNAcentral.